Molecule: ribosomal RNA, 426 nt
Filed under: Agromyces sp.
Lineage: Bacteria; Bacillati; Actinomycetota; Actinomycetes; Micrococcales; Microbacteriaceae
Description: bacterial SSU rRNA
Rfam family: Bacterial small subunit ribosomal RNA
Source: RNAcentral
GUGGAUUGGAUGACGGCCUUCGGGUUGUAAACCGCUUUUAGUAGGGAAGAAGGGCUUCGGCUUGACGGUACCUGCAGAAAAAGGACCGGCUAACUACGUGCCAGCAGCCGCGGUAAUACGUAGGGUCCGAGCGUUGUCCGGAAUUAUUGGGCGUAAAGAGCUCGUAGGCGGUUUGUCGCGUCUGCUGUGAAAUCUGGAGGCUCAACCUCCAGCCUGCAGUGGGUACGGGCAGACUAGAGUGCGGUAGGGGAGAAUGGAAUUCCUGGUGUAGCGGUGGAAUGCGCAGAUAUCAGGAGGAACACCGAUGGCGAAGGCAGUUCUCUGGGCCGUAACUGACGCUGAGGAGCGAAAGCGUGGGGAGCGAACAGGAUUAGAUACCCUGGUAGUCCACGCCGUAAACGUUGGGCGCUAGAUGUGGGGACCUUU